This is a non-coding RNA of Lactuca sativa (garden lettuce), 1701 nucleotides long. The record is from RefSeq and is a predicted model, not a curated record. NCBI's taxonomy places the organism in Eukaryota, Viridiplantae, Streptophyta, Magnoliopsida, Asterales, Asteraceae.
ACGGAAGACACCUCUCUUUCAAUCUUCCAUUUGAACACACGAAACUCCACUGUCACCUCCACAUCUCCCGUAAGAAUCCCCCUCCAUGAACUCGCUGCAUAUUCUUCAUUUGUCUCCUCUCUUCCUUCUCCACCACCAUCAUUAGAUAACCAGAGCACCACCGCCGAAUCGUUGCCCUCUAGAACCAUGACCUUGCCUCACCUCACAAACUUGCAAUUUUUUCGGUUGUGAACAGAUCGGGAAAGAACCGACUAUAUAACAUCUCACAGACGUUCACCCAUUCUCCUCUUUCUACUGCACUGUUAGGAGCCAAAGAGGUCUUCCAUUUACUGCUAGCCCAGGUAAACCAAAUAUGUCAAAACCCUAGACAAAGGAAAAUAUCGAUUUGUUCAUCAUUUUUGCUUAACAAGACUUUUAGCUGUUUUGGUUGAUAAUUUGCUUUUCGUACUUAGAAGAUGACGUGGAUAUGGAUUUCAUGUUCAUCUCGAAUCCAUGAAGAUCAAAGUUCAAAAAGUUAAAAUCUAUGAAAAAGAAAGAAUAUUGGAGUACUGUGCUUCUAAUCAGGGAACCGGUGGUACAGGAUUUGAAUAGAGACGAGUAGGCAACCGAUUUUCUUCGUUCUCAUGUAUUCCUUCUUUCCCCCCACCUUACACUCUCUUAUCUCACGCUCACUACCAUUGGUGUGCUUCUCACUAUCUAUUUUGUAUUUAGAAACCCUCACCACCAAAACACCGCACCAUUUCCAGCGCCAUCACAAUAUUCUGUUUCCCUUCCCCCUCUCUUUCAGAUAAACCCUAAAUAUAACUGGGCACAUUUCCGCACCGGCUACCAGUACCACUAUUUCUUCUCUUCUUUUCGCAGUGCACUUUCCUUUUUCAUAGAUCACUUUAUUUUUCUUUCUACAAACUAACACACACAUGAACCGCCUAUUUCCAAUAUUUCUCAUAUCGAUAUCAUUUAUUCUGACAUCCAAUGGCUCAAGAACUUACCACUCACCACCGUCGUCAUGAACUUUGCCACAUUCAAGCACCAUUUUUUUGACCCUUUUUUCUAAUCUUUCUCUACAUAAGCUUUAAUUUCAUUUAACAAGUAUCAUACGCAGGUACAUGAAGAAUCAUAAAUCAAAACUUAAAAUUGUAAUGUGAAAUUGGGGGAAAGGGGAUCUACGUUGAUCAAGUUCAGUAUGUACUUGGUAAGGAGAUGGGUGGAGCAGAGUUUGGAAUUACAUAUAUGUGUACCGAUAAAUCUACCUGUAAAGUAUUGCCUGUAAAUCAAUUUCAAAAAAGAAGCUUAGAACAAGGGCGCAUAUUGAAGAUGUAAGGAAGUAAGUUGGGAUUAUGAAACAUAUGCCAGUAAUGCCACCACAUCAGAAUAUUGGGGGCUUAAAAGACACUUAUGAAGAUGAUAAUGUUGUUCCUUUCGUUAUGGAAUUAUAUGAAGGUGAGAUAUGAUCGUUACUAGGGCCAUUAAAUAGAGAGGGCUAUUGAAGACAUGAUUCACACCAAUGUUGAAGUGAUUAAGCCUACUUAUGGAGCACAAGUUGAGAAAGUAAUACUUUUACCAAUGAUACUAUAUUUAAUAUUUCUAAAACUAGGGUUAAAUACAAGAAAUAACAAUUGACUUUCAUUGAUUUGUUAAUAUAUCUAUUGUAAAACAUAUACAUACGUUUAAAUAAGUUGUGCAGAGGUGACCAAAUGUAUA